Pelobates cultripes (western spadefoot toad) is the source of this 227-nucleotide non-coding RNA. NCBI's taxonomy places the organism in Eukaryota, Metazoa, Chordata, Amphibia, Anura, Pelobatidae. The record is from the annotation of a GenBank genome assembly.
ACACACAGCACCCAGACACACACAGCACCCCACACACACACACAGCCCCCCACACACACACACAGCACCCCACAGACACACACACACACACCCCACAGACACACACAGCACCCCACAGACACACACAGCACCCUCAGACACACACAACACCCUCAGACAGACAGCACCCUCACUCCCACACAUAUACAGCACAUAUAUUAUAUAAAAAAAACCCUCAGUGAGUUAAC